Molecule: long non-coding RNA, 549 nt
Organism: Ornithodoros turicata
Lineage: Eukaryota; Metazoa; Arthropoda; Arachnida; Ixodida; Argasidae
Exons: 4
Source: RefSeq, a predicted model, not a curated record
CCGCUCUUUUGCAGCCGCUGCUGAGCCACGCACGAUCCUGGACCACCGCAAGCUCUCUCGUAGGCGGUUGAACACACACAGAGGGAGAGAGAGAGAGAGAGAGAAAGGGGGACGCCAUCUUAUGCAGCAACGCAAUCAGAGCUCUCGUUAGCUCCCUUGCGUUCUGAAGUGGACUGCUGAGAGACCUGUCUCCCAGCGGGGCUGUGGUGCACUACGCAGGCCGUCAACUUCACCCACGAGCUCAAGCGCAGUAAUGGACGAUCGGUACUUUCGUAAACGAAGAUUUCAAAAAGGGUGCUGCCUGUGAAGACCUGGUUAAAUAACGAAGGUUUCUACAUACAGGAUCUACCGAGAUGCAUAUAGGUGUGAAGAGCCCGAAACAUGCGGAAGAUGCACAUCCAUUUCAACCGUUGGAUAGCUCGUGAAGUUAGCAGAUAAACUGGAGAACUGUACUGUGCCGUUCACAAGAGCCAAAGUUUCAUUUGGUUUCCUUCUUAACUAAGUCAAGCACGUCUGUGUAUUCCUUGAUCGUUAAUAAAAAGUACCUAA